UACAGAGGGUGCGAGCGUUAUCCGGAAUUAUUGGGCGUAAAGAGCUCGUAGGCGGUUUGUCGCGUCUGCCGUGAAAGUCCGGGGCUCAACUCCGGAUCUGCGGUGGGUACGGGCAGACUAGAGUGAUGUAGGGGAGACUGGAAUUCCUGGUGUAGCGGUGAAAUGCGCAGAUAUCAGGAGGAACACCGAUGGCGAAGGCAGGUCUCUGGGCAUUAACUGACGCUGAGGAGCGAAAGCAUGGGGAGCGAACAGG
RNAcentral lists this ribosomal RNA (253 nucleotides) under uncultured bacterium. Its description in RNAcentral is "partial 16S ribosomal RNA". It matches the Rfam family "Bacterial small subunit ribosomal RNA", at positions 524 to 776 of the family's 1533-position model. The record is from RNAcentral.